Molecule: unclassified non-coding RNA, 200 nt
Filed under: Talaromyces sp.
Lineage: Eukaryota; Fungi; Ascomycota; Eurotiomycetes; Eurotiales; Trichocomaceae
Description: partial internal transcribed spacer 2
Source: RNAcentral
UUAAGUUCAGCGGGUAGCCCUACCUGAUCCGAGGUCAACCGAAAAGAUCGGCCCUGUACGGGGCCCAUCGGGGAAGACCGAGGCCGGCGAAUCCCUCCCGAGCAGGUGACCAAAGCUCCAUACGCUCGAGGACUCGACGCGGCGUCGCCACUGCCUUUGGGGCGUGUCCCCGGGGGGACAGCGCCCAACACCCAGCCGUG